RNAcentral lists this ribosomal RNA (261 nucleotides) under uncultured prokaryote. RNAcentral describes it as "partial 16S ribosomal RNA". It matches the Rfam family "Bacterial small subunit ribosomal RNA", at positions 524 to 784 of the family's 1533-position model. The record is from RNAcentral.
UACGUAGGUGGCAAGCGUUAUCCGGAAUUAUUGGGCGUAAAGAGCGCGCAGGUGGUUGAUUAAGUCUGAUGUGAAAGCCCACGGCUUAACCGUGGAGGGUCAUUGGAAACUGGUCGACUUGAGUGCAGAAGAGGGAAGUGGAAUUCCAUGUGUAGCGGUGAAAUGCGUAGAGAUAUGGAGGAACACCAGUGGCGAAGGCGGCUUCCUGGUCUGUAACUGACACUGAGGCGCGAAAGCGUGGGGAGCAGACAGGAUUAGAUA